This 88-nucleotide transfer RNA is filed under the name Candidatus Jorgensenbacteria bacterium GWA1_49_17. RNAcentral describes it as "tRNA-Leu". It matches the Rfam family "tRNA". Rfam says of the family: Transfer RNA (tRNA) molecules are approximately 80 nucleotides in length. Their secondary structure includes four short double-helical elements and three loops (D, anti-codon, and T loops). Lineage: Bacteria; Candidatus Joergenseniibacteriota. The record is from RNAcentral.
GCCCGGGUGGAGGAACGGUAGACUCGCGACACUUAAAAUGUCGUGGCCACAACAGGUCGUGCCAGUUCGAAUCUGGCCCCGGGCACCA